This 397-nucleotide ribosomal RNA is filed under the name uncultured bacterium. RNAcentral describes it as "bacterial SSU rRNA". It matches the Rfam family "Bacterial small subunit ribosomal RNA", at positions 28 to 420 of the family's 1533-position model. The record is from RNAcentral.
GACGAACGCUGGCGGCGUGCUUAACACAUGCAAGUCGAGCGGUAAGGCCCUUUCGGGGGUACGACGAGCGGCGAACGGGUGAGUAACACGUGGGUGACCUGCCCUCAGCUCUGGGAUAAGCCUGGGAAACCGGGUCUAAUACUGGAUAUGACUCCAUGACGCAUGUUGUGGGGUGGAAAGGCCUUGUGCGGCUGAGGAUGGGCCCGCGGCCUAUCAGCUUGUUGGUGGGGUGANGGCCUACCAAGGCGACGACGGGUAGCCGGCCUGAGAGGGCGACCGGCCACACUGGGACUGAGACACGGCCCAGACUCCUACGGGAGGCAGCAGUGGGGAAUCUUGCGCAAGUGGGACGUAAAGCCUGACGCAAGCGACGCCGCGUGAGGGAUGACGGCCUGGU